This 1660-nucleotide small RNA is filed under the name Pan troglodytes (chimpanzee). RNAcentral's name for it is "retained intron". Lineage: Eukaryota; Metazoa; Chordata; Mammalia; Primates; Hominidae. The record is from RNAcentral.
GUCGGGAGGGGCCGGCGAAGAAAACGAGCGGCGGGCGAACCGAAAAAAGGCUCGACGCUACCGUGUAUGAGGAACUUUGAUCCUUGCGGGCCACCAUUCCGGAAGUAGAAUUUAGAGGAAGAAAAUACCGGAGUUGCAGGGUAUAGGUAAAUUUCUCAAGGUUAUAGGUUGGGGUUCUUAGAACUUUUUGUGGUGUGUGUUGGCCUAGAGCGACUCAGAAGCGUUAGUGACUUCACCUAAAAAAGCUAACCUCUCUGCUGAGCGCGACCGGUGUGCGGCGCAGGAUGAGCCUCAGGGCUUCUGUUAAGAGUCCGUCUGAGAAAGCCGGUCUGCGCUGUUCCUCGGUGGCGACCUUAAUUAUGAGAUGAGCUAAUGCUUUACUGACUUAACCAUGGCGCAGCGGGCAGUGUGGCUCAUAAGCCACGAACCGGGAACUCCACUUUGUGGCACCGUGAGAUUCUCCAGACGGUAUCCAACUGUUGAAAAACGAGCCAGAGUCUUCAAUGGAGCAAGUUAUGUGCCUGUUCCUGAAGAUGGUCCCUUUCUUAAAGCACUGCUCUUUGAACUUAGAUUAUUGGAUGAUGAUAAAGACUUCAUUGAGAGUCGUGAUAGCUGUUCACGCAUCAAUAAAACAUCCAUUUAUGGACUCCUGAUAGGAGGUGAAGAACUCUGGCCAGUUGUUGCUUUUCUGAAGAAUGACAUGAUAUAUGCUUGUGUUCCACUAGUUGAACAAACUCUGUCCCCUCGUCCGCCAUUAAUUAGUGUCAGUGGAGUUUCACAAGGCUUUGAAUUUCUUUUUGGGAUACAGGAUUUUCUUUAUUCAGGUCAGAAAAAUGACUCUGAGCUGAAUACAAAAUUGAGCCAGUUGCCUGACUUGCUUCUGCAGGCUUGUCCAUUUGGUACUUUAUUAGAUGCCAACUUACAGAAUUCAUUAGAUAAUACCAAUUUUGCAUCUGUGACUCAGCCACAGAAACAGCCAGCUUGGAAAACUGGGACGUACAAAGGAAAACCACAAGUUUCUAUUUCUAUCACUGAAAAGGUAAAAUCCAUGCAAUAUGAUAAACAGGGUAUAGCAGAUACAUGGCAAGUUGUUGGAACAGUGACUUGCAAGGUGAGAUUUUUCUCUGGUAUUUGCUUUAUCGUUUUAUUUAACAUAUGGAGAAAAGUUAAAUUUGCUAGUUGUAUUUUAAAUAACAUUUUUUAUUUUCAUCUUAAGCAGCAGUUUUUAAAUGGGAGAGUCAUGUAAAAUUUUAUGUUAUCUUUUUGCAUUCCUUACCAAUUAUAUUAGUUAUCUGUGGCUGUGUAAAGAAUUGUCUCAUUGUCCCCAAAAUAGACAUUUAUUAUUUUCAUAGUUUCUGUAGGGAUUAGCUUAGCUGGGAACUUUCAGGGUAGAAUCACUCAUGAAGUUGCAGUCAAGUUUUCAGUUGAGGCUAUAGUCAUCUGAAGGUCUGACUGAGGCUGGAAGAUCUGCUUGCAAGAUGACUCAUUCACAUGGCUAACAAGUUGGUCCUAGUUAUUGGAGGAAGGCCUUAGUUCCUUUCCACAUGGACUUCUCAACUGGCUGCUUAAGUGUCCUCACACUUGGUGACUGGCUUCCCUCAGACCAGAUGAUGAGAGAGGGGUGGGGGGGGAGAGAGAGAGGAGAGAGAGAGAGAGAGAA